ACGGAGAUGCAGUAACAAGGAACUUCACAUAUGCGUUUGUUCCGUAAUUAUUACUAUCCGUUCUCUGUUCCCCUACCUACGCAAUUUCGUAUCGUUUCUAUAACGCAUUCUACGAUACGCGAGAAGAAUUACUCGCGCCACACGAAAACUUCAUUCUCAUUGGCCGUUGAAAUCUGGCGCGUGCUUUAUUGACCAAUCCCUCCAAAGUUUAAAUAAUUCAAUCGACGAUGAUUAUUGGCGGAGUUCUUUCGAGUACAUACGAUGCAUUUAUAAAAAGUGCACUCGAACGUUUAUGAAUAAUAACGAAUUAUUUGUCAACGGUUACGUAAAAAUGCGUAAAUUUUAAUAAAAACAAAAUUUCUCAAGGAUAAUGGUUGCAUGUUUGACGAUCAUUUUUGAUCUUAAAUCAACUUCCUUGCACGGAAUACUUAAGACACGCGAUCUUAAGCGACAAGCGGCCAUUGAUGGUACAUGGUUCACCUGUAUUCUGCAAUAAUGUUGUAAUUUUAGCAUAAAUAUUUAAAGAUUCAGUUAUAUAAAGAAGGACAAGUGGGUAUUGUUGUUGGACUACCGGCGUUCUGCGUCAAUUCUGUGAUAACUAGAAGAAGGCACGUAACGGUCGAUAACAACGACGCGGUUUAAAACGGGCCGACGUGGCAGCGGCACGUAUUUUCGUCCACGAAAUGCCAAGAAGACGAGUUCGAGAGCCCGUACCGAUCACCGGAUGUUAUCAGCGUACAUAUAUGUACUACUUAUGUAUAUAUGUACACAAUGGUUGAAAGUAACUUGAUCAGUGCAAAUUCCGCGAUUGUUGUUUUACUACCAAUAACAUAGAUAUACACAAAUUAUAUAUUUAUAUGGAUGCAUGUAUUGUAAAUGAAUGAUCCGAUAAAUGUAAACAUAAGAUAUACAUACAUAUUAUCAAGAAACAUGUAACUCUAUUGUUAAUAAAAUACUCUAUAUAGAUAGGAAGAAACGUGCGCACAUGUACAAUGAUUUGGAGUAGGGCAAGUAGU
This 1016-nucleotide long non-coding RNA is filed under the name Polistes canadensis. Its description in RNAcentral is "uncharacterized LOC106787170, transcript variant X2". The record is from RNAcentral. Lineage: Eukaryota; Metazoa; Arthropoda; Insecta; Hymenoptera; Vespidae.